RNAcentral lists this ribosomal RNA (293 nucleotides) under uncultured bacterium. RNAcentral's name for it is "partial 16S ribosomal RNA". It matches the Rfam family "Bacterial small subunit ribosomal RNA", at positions 335 to 642 of the family's 1533-position model. The record is from RNAcentral.
GUUCCUACGGGGGGCAGCAGUGGGGGAUAUUGGACAAUGGGGGGAACCCUGAUCCAGCGACGCCGCGUGAGUGAAGAAGUAUUUCGGUAUGUAAAGCUCUGUCAGCAGGGAAGAAAGCAAUGACGGUACCUGACCAAGAAGCCCCGGCUAAAUACGUGCCAGCAGCCGCGGUAAUACGUAUGGAGCAAGCGUUAUCCGGAUUUACUGGGUGUAAAGGGAGAGUAGGUGGCAGAGCAAGUCCGAAGUGAAAACCCAAAGCUCAACUAUGGGAAUGCUUUAGAAACUGCUCAGCU